Molecule: long non-coding RNA, 14360 nt
Filed under: Malus domestica (apple)
Lineage: Eukaryota; Viridiplantae; Streptophyta; Magnoliopsida; Rosales; Rosaceae
Description: long non-coding RNA (MDOM_LNC003589)
Source: RNAcentral
CCGGCCCGGACCGUUCAUUGCAUCUAUGAUCUACCCUCUAUUAUUACUCAUUUACCCUAACUAUCCCCUCACCCUCUCUCUAUCCCGUCUCCACUCUCCUCCCUCGAUCUCUCCUCCCUCUCGAUCUCUCUCGAUCUCUUCCCUCUCGAUCUCUCGAUUUCAUAGAAGAUGACUAACGCCAGAGACGAACCGGGUGGAAGCAACAGCGGUGGCGGUGGAGGCGGAUUUCAUAGAGAGCAAGCAAAGACCUAGAAUCCAAUUGGGAACUCGAUUAUUUGCUCUGAUGAAAUACCCACUGAAGAAGAAGGCCAUGUCGCUAUUAAUUUCACAGAAGUUGUUCCUUUUGCUUCGGACUACUAUUUUUCUUUUAAAUUUUUUUACUUUAGGAAUUGUUUGUGAUGAUUUUUGUUGGGUGUAGCUGCGUUGUAGCUACUUUAUCAAGGUUCGGUCCUCCAAAAAGGGGUUGGUGGCGUUUCUUUCCCCCCCAUUUUAAUUCUUUUUUUUUUUCGAUUUUAUUGUAAAUUUAUAUAAUUUGAAUAUUUUGCUUCGUGGCGUUGGUAUUUUUUCUAAAGUUUAUGAUAUUAUUUCUGUAAAGAUUUGUUCUUUGUGGAUAUGCACCCAGAUAUGUGCAUUUGUGUGUGUGAUUUUUUUCCUUGAGCGAUUUGAGGAUGUUGAGGAAGGCGAUGAGGUCCUAGAGCGAUUUGAGUCUAUGUGGGGGACGAGCGCAUUGAAUCGUUUGGAAAUGGCGGGGCAGCGGAUGAGGGUCUUGAUGUCGAAGACCGAGUCGAACAUCGGGAGGAAGAUCGAGAGGAUGAGCAAGUCCGGGAGGCGAUCAAAAUCGGAAAAAAAAAAAAAAGUAAAAGGACCCGUGGACCCGUCCCAAACCGACCCGUUUCAAAUGGGCCGGGUUAGGUCCGGUUCCAAUGAUCAAAUUUACAAUACCCGGCCCGGCCCGUCCCGUUUCCUAUUUAAGCAGGUCCGGUCCGGUCUCUCUAAAUUUGGGCCCGGCCCGGCCUGUGCCCACCCCUAGUUUUAACGAAACACUCUCUAUACUGUUCACUUUUAACGAAAAUGACAUUUUUAUUCUAAAAAAUCAUUCAUGAUACUAUUCACUUACAACAUCUUUUUGUCAUUUUGAUUAAAACUCAAAAUUAUUAAAUUUUUUUUAUUAGUUUCCCUAAAAAAAAAAAAAAACUCUUGAUUGAGUGGGUUUGAUUAUAAGAAUUACAUUUUCUUUUCUUUUCUUUUUUCCAUAAAAGAGACGACGACAAGCUAGCUAUCUUAUCUGACAAAUUUGACACAAUACUUGGCUACUAAAAAAUUAGUAGAAAUUCUUACUUAAAAAUUUUCAAAAUUAUUCGUUGUCAAUUUAUAGAAUUUCGUGUUUAUCAUCAUAACCGAUAAAUGACUCUAUAAAGAUCGUAUUUGUAAAAAAUCAAUUAACACUAAGAUUGUUUAGGCAUCAAACUGUUUUAAAAUAAAUAUACGGUAUUGGUAAAAGCAUUACGAACCGUCUAUGUACUUGCUAUAAUAGAUUGACUAAACGUCCUUAGUUUUAAUUUAUUUUUUGCAGAUAUAAUCUUUACAGUGUGAUUUAUAGUGUGAACGGUUCUGAUUAUAAACACAAAACUCUGUGAUUAAAACACUAAAAAUUUUGAGUAUUAGUUCCUACUCAUUUUUUAGUAGCCAAGUAUUGUUCUCAAAAUUUUACGUGGCAUUUUUUGUCACCUAUCUCAAAGUUUGACGCCUGUUAUUAACUCUACUUUUAAACACUGUUAAUUCUUUGAAAAAAAUUAAAAAAGAAAAAACAUGAAAAGUUAAACCUAGAAGCCCAACCGUUCCUGCCACUCCCACUCCCACUCAGUGUCGACCACCACCAUGGCAUCCCACAAAGCUUCCUCUUCUUCUCCUCACUGAGAAUCUCGUCGUCUCUUUCCAGAUCCCCGAUACUACCAUACCCACUUUACAGUGGCCCGCCAUAUCCGGGUCCAGAUCCUUAACCCCCAACACUUCACCAACGAGCUCGACAAAGGCAAUGACGAUUCUCCAAUUUCAACACCCAGUGGACCACCAUGGCGAUGGUCUGGGUUCUUCACAUUACAUAUAUAUUUUUUUUAUUCUUAGUGUUUUUAAGUGAGUUAAAGAGCGUUUAAGUGUAGAGUUAGCAGUUGACAAGUCACAAAGAGUUUUGGAUGCAAAAGAUUUGAAGUCGCACUAGCAUUAAGAUUAAAUAAAAAAUUAACCACACAAUAUAUGAUAAUUGAUUAGGAUGUAAAGAUUCUUAACAUACUCUCAAUUUGAAUUCGAACAGGAUCCAAAUCCGUCUAGAAUUAGGAUUAGGGGUGGUCAAUAUUAAUUGUUUUCUAAGUUAGAAAUUCCUUUUAUAAAAAGAACUUGCACACAUCACACGUGUGAGCGUAUUUUAUGUCACAAUUCAAUACACAACUCAUGGCACACGCAGCAACCAAAAAGAAAAAACAUCUCACCAUCUUCCAUUCCCACUAAGUCACUAUUCCAAUCAUUUUACUUUUUAUCUUACACCAAAAGGUAUUUGUUUGACCAAAUCAUGUAUACAUAACAUCUUAGGAAGGCUGCAAACAAAAAGAAAAAUCGAAUAUUUAUCCAAAAAGAGUAUGAAACGUUCCAAAAUAUUCCGGUUUUUUAUAUUUAUUUACCAAAAUUAUGUUUUGCAAUCAAGUUUUGUAUUUUAUUGUUAAUUUUGAAUGCACUUUGUUUAUUGUUUUUAUGUUAAUCAUACACUUAUAUAUUAAAAAUAAAAAGCAUAUAUCACAAAAUAAACUGGAUUUAUAUAUAAGCAUAAAUUUGGUCAAACAAUAAACUGGAUUUAAAUAUUGAGAAAUAACAAUAAAUUUGUAAGUACGAAAAAGUUCAAGAAUAUUAAAAAAACUUGUAAAAGAAAUGAAUUUCUAAAUCAUGUUUCCAAAUUUAUGAGAUUACUCUGAAUUCAAAUAUUCUAAAACUUUCGAAUUUAAAAAUUGUGAUCCGAUCUGACUUAAUUCUACAAUUUAAAAAAAAUGAAAACGUUUUGUUUCCAAUUCAUUCAUCUGACAAUCAACCCCAACUGAUUGAAUCCAAUCAAACUGCCCAAUAACACAGUCAAUUAACUUUCCAGAGGGAGGCCGAAAUACCUCUUCGAGUCUUCUCGACCUCAGAAUGAUAGAUUGCUACGACGAAGCCACCAACUGGUCCACUUUAAAAAAAUUAAAUAAAAUCAUCUUUCUAGGGCUUGGAGCUCAACUCAUCUAUGCGAACUCUCUAUUUUUAAAAUUCAAACGUAAGAUCACUCACUUACAAAUGAAGAAGAAUAUCACUAGACUGUUUUACUAAGUAGCUUUUCAAAUGCAUUACAUACUCUAAUGUUCAUUUAUUUACCAUAAAUGUAUUGUGUUUGCGUUGUAUGAAAUAAUGCUAAACUUAAACCCAAUUUGUUAACCACCAAUACCUAUAAUUUAUCGUGCAAAAUCUUAUCGUUUUAUUGCGUUGUAUAUUACUAUCACAUCAACUUCUGACUUAGAUGCAUUCAAUCCACGAAAAUCGAAAUUCACUUUGAAAUUUGAAGAUUAAUUUGGUACAUGAAAUAAUUUACCAAACAAAGAUUCAGUAAAAAGUGACUACAAAUACAACCAAUGGGUAAAUAAUGUAUGAGAACCAGUACAUCCUAAAAUACAUCUUGUAUACGGUCAGAGGGAAGAAACCACUAAAUCGUAGUACUAAAUGAUAUGUAUUUGUUAAAAUCCACAAAAAAUUCACUUUUCUCGUUCAAUUCUUCCAUUUUUUUUCUUCCUACCUGCUACCACUAUUUAUUUUCAUUUCCAAAUUUUCAUGAUGUCAAACCAUCGUAUUAGAAAACCUAAUUGGUCAAUGAUGAAGAUAAAAAGGAGUUCUGGUGAACGUCGUUGACAAGAAUGGGUUGGUUGUGUUAUUUUUCAUAAUUUAUCGGAAUUUGAAUUUGGAGGUUAAAUGUUCAUAAGUUGAGAAAUUAUUACCUCAAAAUGAGUUAGGUGCCACGCACAUGAAACUAAAUUAAAGGGCAAUAUGAAAAACUAAAUGAGAAAAUUGUAGCAAUAGUCUUUCAACUUUAACCUUAAUAGGAGAAAUGAUCCCUUAACUUUAGCCCAAUUGAAACAAUAGUUCCUCAAUUUUAACUCAAUUUUAGUAAUGUUCUUCUAACAUGGCUCAUUUUGACAGAAGUUAUGACGGAGUUGACGAAAAGAACCAUAGUUGUACUUUUUGGUGUGUUAAAGGACAAAUGGUAAUAUAUUUUUAAUUGAGGGAGCAUCGCUUCAAUUGGAUUAAAGUUGCGGUACCAUUAUAACUUAAAUGAGAUAAACCACACACAGUAAAAGCAAUUUACAUUGUAACAGCAUCGUCGUCAUCCUGUCCAUGUUGAGAUUUUGUUUGAACUGUUUAAAUUUGAGAUGCAGAUACCCUCCUUGGCAAAAGUCUCCUUGAAUUGCAGAUUUGCGAUGGCACAAAAUAAUAAGUAGGUGAUUAACUAACUUGUAGCUAAUCGUGCUGAUAUGACAGUAAGUACCAGAAAGAAAAAACACGAUGAACCAACUCGGGAGUCGAGCACAAGUUCACAAACACAACAAACUCGCAAUCUAAAUCCCAUUGCAGCUGAGCAAUAUAUAACGUCAAGGAAUUAUCCGAAGAUCGCUUAACCGUAGCAAGAGCACUCUCAGGGAGCAAUCUCAUUCUUUUUUUCUGUCCAGGAGUCCAUUUCUAUCUCUUUCUCUUGUAUUACUUCCAGCUAGAACUGAAUGCGGAAAAUAUGGGAAAGCAUCUCGUGAUGUAUUUAACCAAAAAAGUUGUGAUGCUUCCACAUUCUCAAGUGAUUUAGACCCUUUUGUACGCACAUCUAAUUCCCAUUCCGUUUGAAGAUCGAAGCUAUAUGAAGCAAAUGGCAAUGGCUUCGUUUCCUCUGAAUGAAUGAGCUUAAUUAAAAACUGAAUAACAAAUGGCAUAGGCUUCCUUAAUUAAUUAGGUCCAAACUUGUAACAAAGAAAGGAAUAACAUCCCUAACUAAAAGAUUAUACGUAAAAAUUAAAAACUGAAUAAGCUUAAUUUCAGUAAAUGAAUCCAUAAUACUCAUCAUCCAUAUAUUAUAAUCUAGGGGAUACCCAAAUACAUAAUAUACCAAAUAGUUUUCAAAUUCGGAGCAGAACAGGAAAUUAUGUCAAGAGAUGAUGAAUGCGAACGGAACAUAGAGCAUCAACCCAAUGACAAUGCCAAGUUGCCAACGGAGUCCACGAUGAGCAAGUGAGCAAAUCAGUCCACAACAGCAAGAGCUUGAAACUGUUUGUCCGAGAAGGCUGCUUCCAUGACAUGGUGCGGGCCAAUAUCCCCACCAUUCUCCAAGAAGGACCUGACCAAAUUAUUAGACCAGCCACCCAAUAGCGUCACCCCUGGACGAGGCAAAGCGAUCGAAGGAAAUUCCCAGCACCAAAUAUCCCAAAUCAGAAUGUGAGGCACCGCAUCAUCCCAUACCCUUUGUCCUUAAACAUGGUCCUUAAUGGCCUCGUACUGAGUCUCCCAGGCUGCGCUAUCAAAAAAAAUCAGAGCCCAUGUUGUAGUUGAAGAUAAAGAGCUUCUGGAUCAUCUGAUCUGGCUUCAAAAUUCUCAUUGACAGUCACUUGGAGAAUCAAAUCAAAUACCUUUCGCAAAUGAACUACCAGGCGGCCGUCCAUUCCCAUCGUUGCAGGGUACUGAAUACAGAUGAGGAAGACGAAAUAACAGAGCGUGGUCGUCCCCGGCAGCAGCCGGAAGAGGAGCGGAACUGAUCAGCUUUCCUUUCCAGGCCGGCUCUUCAUUCAGUUCACUCACAAAAAGUCCCAAACUCGCCGUCAAUUCCCUAGCCCCGCCCAUAAUUCUGUUCAUGUUACAUACAGCGAAGCAGUUUCUGAAUUUGCCACCCUCCUUGUGCUUGCGCAGCAAUGCAUUCCACUGAAGCUCAGCCGCCUCCCCAACAUUCGCAUCUUUCAAAUAUCGUAUGAUAAAAUGUGGAAGCAAAGCAUCGGGCUCUAUGACGAAACUUAAAUUGCCUUUGCUUGCUGUUGUUGCUGAGGCUUUCACCUGCUCCAAAUAUUUAAUAUCCACACCCCACCGUCUCGGGUUGAACCUGCCCUGACGCUUAUUGUACUUCUGCAAGGGCGCCAAGAACUCCUUCCUCAGCCGCUCCCACUGAUCAUCCUCCUUUGAUGAUUGGUCUGGUUGUUGCGAUUGCGACACCAAAGAGAAGAGCCGCCUGGCAGUGCUUUCGCUAAGCGCAAUGGCGCGGAUGGCAUGGGCGUCUGUAAAAAUAUAUUUGAUUAUUUUGACUUAAAUUGAAAAGGAUACAAAAGGCCUUUUUAUACAGACUCAUUCUCUUGGAAGAGAAUUAACCUAGCCUACAAUUUAGCUAUACAAAAAAGGAAGAUUUUGUACAAAUCAAUUACAGACUUUGUUUCCUAUUCUAAGCUAAGAUAUCAGGGAUCUUGAUAUCAUUGACUUCUCAACACUCCCCCUCAAGUUGGAGAGUGAACGCCGAGAACUCCCAACUUGCGUAUGAUGGAUAAGAAAGCCUCCUUUCCUAAUGCCUUUGUGAAAACAUCUGCAAGCUGGUUUGAAGAGGGAAUGUAUCUUGUGACAACCGAACCAUCUUGUAUCUUGUCUCGAAUAAAAUGACAAUCAAUCUCUAUAUGUCUAGUUCGUUCAUGAAAAACUGGAUUAGCAGCUAUAUGGAGCGCCGCUUUGUUGUCACAAUGUAGCAAGGCCGGUUUUGGGUGAAGCAAACCUAGAUCCUUCAGAAGAUAUUGAAGCCAUGACAGUUCACAACAAGUUCCAGUCAUGGCUCUAUAUUCGGCCUCUGCUGAUGAUAAAGAAACGGUCUUUUGUCUCUUUGACCUCCAAGAGAUCAACGAAGAACCCAAAAAGACGCAAUAACCUGUAGUUGACCUUCGUGUCGUAGGACAUCCUGCCCAGUUUGAAUCACAAUAUGCACUUAAGUUUAAGUUGUUUUGAGAAGAGAAAAAACAAACCCUAUCCAGGCGUACUCUUCAAGUAUUUCAGGAUUCGGAGAGCUGCUUCCAUGUGCGGUUGUCGUGGUUCAUGCAUGAAUCGGCUCAACACAUGCACGGGAUAAGUGAUGUCUGGCCUUGUAAUAGUUAAAUAGAUCAAUCGACCAACCAACCUUCUAUACUUUGCCGGAUCUUUAAGCAACUCACCAGUGUUAGAAAGUUUAACAUUCUGCUCCAUAGGAAACUCCACUGGGCGAGCUCCCAAAAGACCACUAUCUUUCAAAAUUUCUAAAGCGUAUUUUCGCUGAGAAAUAAAGAUCCCUUUCUUUGACUGAGAAACCUCUAUUCCCAUAAAGUACUUCAAGUUACCAAGGUCCUUGAUUUUGAAGUGACCAUGAAGAAAUCUUUUAAGAGCAUUAAUUCCUUCAUGAUCAUUGCCAGUGAUCAAAAUAUCGUCAACAUAGAUCAGGAGGGCUAUAAAGGAUUGCCCUUGCUGCCUCGUAAACAAAGAAUAAUCUGCCUUUGAUUGGAUAUAACCAGCGGAUUUAAUUGCUUCUGAAAACUUUGCAAACCAUUGCCGGGACGCUUGUUUCAAGCCGUAGAGGGAUUUAUUAAGGCGACACACGAUAUUCUCCCCCCCUGUCGCCGAAGACCAGGAGGAAGGGUCAUAUAGAUUUCUUCAUGAAGAUCACCAUGAAGAAAGGCGUUGUGGACAUCAAGUUGGUGGAGAGACCAGUUGCGGGCAGCAGCGAGGGCUAACAAACAACGAACAGUGACCAUCUUAGCAGUAGGGGGAGAAGGUAUCGUGAUAAUCAACACCUUCAAGUUGAGUGUAACCCUUGGCUACAAGGCGAGCCUUAUAACGUUCAAUAGAACCAUCAGAACGAUGUUUGAUCUUAUAAACCCAACGACAACCAAUGGGAGUUUUGCCGACAGGGAGAGGAGUGAGUGUCCAAGUAUUAGUGGCCUCCAAAGCACGGAGUUCAGAGUCCAUGGCAGCAUGCCAAUGGGAAUGAAGAGCAGCCUGAGCAUAAGUGUGAGGUUCGACCUGCCGACUGAUAGAAGCAAGGAAAGAUUUUUGUUGAGGUGAGAAACGAUGAUAAGUGAGAAAAUUAGCAAGAGGAUACCUUGUACCGGUGGUAGGACCUGUCGACGAAGAUGAUGAAUCGAUUGGUUGGGUAGAAGGCAAAGUAGGGCAAACAUAAUCACUGAAGCGAGCGGGAGGAGCUGAGCGACGGUCAGAGUGGCGAAGCACGGGUGCAGAGGGCACGGAAGGUGCUGGAGGCACGGGCGCUGGGAGCGCUGAUAUGGCAGGAUCAGGUACAGAGGGAGAUGUAGCAUCAGACGCGGGAGGAAAAGACUCAACAGGUGACACGGUGACACGGGAGAAACAAUGGGUGCGGAAUGAUCAGUGUAGUCAAGAAGGGGUUGAGGUAAGACAGGUCCUGGUUGGUCAUCGGAUGGGGAUUGAUGUUGGUAAGGGAAAAUAUNNNNNNNNNNNNNNNNNNNNNNNNNNNNNNNNNNNNNNNNNNNNNNNNNNNNNNNNNNNNNNNNNNNNNNNNNNNNNNNNNNNNNNNNNNNNNNNNNNNNNNNNNNNNNNNNNNNNNNNNNNNNNNNNNNNNNNNNNNNNNNNNNNNNNNNNNNNNNNNNNNNNNNNNNNNNNNNNNNNNNNNNNNNNNNNNNNNNNNNNNNNNNNNNNNNNNNNNNNNNNNNNNNNNNNNNNNNNNNNNNNNNNNNNNNNNNNNNNNNNNNNNNNNNNNNNNNNNNNNNNNNNNNNNNNNNNNNNNNNNNNNNNNNNNNNNNNNNNNNNNNNNNNNNNNNNNNNNNNNNNNNNNNNNNNNNNNNNNNNNNNNNNNNNNNNNNNNNNNNNNNNNNNNNNNNNNNNNNNNNNNNNNNNNNNNNNNNNNNNNNNNNNNNNNNNNNNNNNNNNNNNNNNNNNNNNNNNNNNNNNNNNNNNNNNNNNNNNNNNNNNNNNNNNNNNNNNNNNNNNUUUUUGGUAUUGACAUUUAGGUACAUACAUUUUCAGUAUUAACAUUUAGGUACAUUAAUUCAAUAUAAUAUACAUUUCGGUACAUACAUUUAGGUUCAUUAUAAUAUAUUUCGGUACAAUCAUGUCGGUACAAAUAUUUCAGUACAAAAAAAGUCAAUUUUAUAUAUUUUGGCAUAAUCAUUUCUCUGUACACUUAUGUAUUUAUAUAUUUUUUGUAUCACAAAUUUCUUUUAAUAUUUUCUCAUUUACAUUCAUUUCUAAUUAAAAAAACUAAAUAUGAGCAUAUUAAUAAAAUUAAAAUUUAAUAUGGAGAGAUUAAAUAAAAAUAAACAUUAAAUAACAAAAAUUGAAUGUAAAUUUUGAUAAAAGUACAUUCAAGGGAUUAAAUUGAAUAUUUAAUCUAGCACUAGGUUUUUUUUAAAUUUUAAUCUUUUGCAAGGACUAAUGUUCAAAAACCCCAAAUUUAUAUGAUGUUGAGUAAAUCAAAGCUUUUGCAUAAAAAUUUAAAUGAUGUUGAGUUUCUAUGCUAACUACCAAUUGGUUUUUAAAUUGAAUUGAAAAAUUCAGAUGAACAUAUAUUUCUUUUGCAUGAAUAAUGUGGUUUUCUAAAAUAAAAGUCCACCCGAAAUAAAGCAUGCCAGUGUAAGAAAGGGAACCCUUUUCUCAUCAAAGCUGCAUUUGUUAUAGAAAAGUUCUGAGAAAAUUGGUAAUUGAAAAAGCAAGACUUGAAGCUUCAACACAAGCAAUGAUGGAGAGUCCAGCAGUCCCAACACAUUAGAAUAUAGUAGACUUUUGUAGUUAGUCAAAUGGCUGACAAACAAAGCGAUUACUGACUUCCUUUUGAAAUGAAGGUCAUCAUCAUCCACCAAACCCUUUGGGGUGAUCAUGCAACGUCAAUGGAACAUCUACCUGUUUUCUAUACUAUAUAUGAUCUACUUUUCUUUUUUUCAUAUUCCGAGUUUCUAGUUCAACAAAUUCAUCCGUUGAAAUUCUGUUUAGCUUAACUUAUUACUCGUAUAACAAUAAGGCAUAUAGUCUAAUGAUACUAAUUCUCUCAAACCAUCUCUGGAUAGAGGUAAGACCUAUUUGUAUUGUGAACCAUACAUUUAUUAGAGACAUAAUUAAGAUGCGAUAUACAAUGUGAUCUUUCUCUAGCAUUAUUCGAAAACUAUUUACAUAUCCUAUAGUUUGUCCGUUACGACCACGCUCACUACAAGUUUACCUCAUUUCAACCCGUGACAACAAAAAAUCAGUUCAGUCAGUGAAUCAGUGGAGCCCUAACCCUCUUUCGUCUGUGUCGCAGGUUGGGUGGUUGAGGGAAGGGAAAGGAAAGGGAAAGGGGAGUGAGCGCGAUCAAACGAGAUGAAGAGGGAGAGAUCGACGACGAAGGGAGAGUUCGAAAGGAGAGAAGCUAGAGAGUGGGAGCGGCAAAAGGAGAAGAGUGAACGCGUUAGGUAUAAGAGAAAGAGACCGGAGUAGGAUUGUCUGUAUGAAAGUUUCAUUAACCAGUAUAGUUCAUCCGCUUCAUGUGAAAAAAAACUAUAGUUUCAGAAGUACGGGUAGAGCUGCUUCUGCAUAUGCUGUUUUGGACCCAUGAUUUGGAAAGAAUAAAAAAACACUUUUUUUUAUUUACCAAACACAAGUUUAGCUCAAACUUUUUUCAAAAAAAAAUUUGUUUUUUAAAAAAUUUCAACAAUAUCAAAUCAGCUCUAAGUAUAAUGAACAAGUUGUACGUUGUGUAAUAUAAAUCGGUUGUUAUAUAAUACUUUAAUUAAAUUCGCAUAUGUAGUUUAUUCAGGCAUUUAGAUAUAGAUGCCUUAGCAUUCUAUUUCUUUUUAUAAACAUUUAGUGUGCUAUAGGUUUUAGAUUAAACCACCUCUAAAAUGGAGCCAUAUGGUAUAGUUUAUAAAAGCUACAAGAAAUGGGUAUCCUACAUGAAAAGUACGCAGUAUUAUUGGGCAACUUUGCUAAGAGAUUUUUUGAAAACUUUGGUACUUAAAUUUUGUGUAUUAUUGAAAAUAUAUGUAAACAACGUGUACUAAAUGUAAAACGUAUGCGUGUACAUAUAUCAUGGAGUUUUAAAAAACAUCAUAUUAUAUAAGCAAAUUGUUAUUGAUAUUCUAAAAAUCUAAUUGUGUACUCCAAACUUUUUAUAUUUGGAAAGCAAAAUAAUCUUAUGAAGAAUGUACAAUUAGAUUUUUUGAAGUAUUAAUAAUAAUUCUCUUACACUAUGUUUGGAUGAGGGAAAUAAACUUGAAAUUUGGAUUAAAGUCGGAAUUUAUAAAUUGACAUGCACAAAUUCUCUUGUUUGGAUUCAUAAAUAUAAAAAUUUAGAAUUUCCGCGUGGAAAAUAAAUUUGGAAUUUGGGAUCACCAAUUUCCAAGUUUAAAUUCUAUGUAAAUACGUGUCAUUUUUUCAAUUUCUAUAAUUGAAAGUUUAAAAAUAACAAAUUUUUUGUAUUCAAUUACAUUGGUCUUUUAGAUUAACCAAACAAGAAAAUUCACAAAUUCUAGGAAAUAAAAUCCCGACAUUUCAAUUUCUGUCAUUUUAAAAUUCUUUAAUAAUUUUAAAUUUCUUCAUCCAAACAUAGUGUUAUUGAACAAAUGAAUAAACUACAUAGAAAAAUCUAAUUAAAUAAUAUUAAAAUAUUACAGGUCCCAAGAAUGAACAAUCAAUCUCUGAACGACUCACCACUGCAAUCACAAUACUCGAGUCUCCUUCCAAAACCAAAUUUGAAUUAGCAGUUUGGAAUUCCACUAGAAGCUCUGUUGCACGUCUAGCCGCAAGCAUUUCAGCAUGGGAAACCUAUGUUCCCCGAUGUGGAACAUGGAGUCUCAAAAACUCCAAUAAACAUAUGACAUAUGAGUGUCUAGUAAGAAACUUUUCUUAACUACUUGAGUUAUAAACUCAUUAUCAGAAUUUCUAAGAACCCGCUACCAUAAAUAUAUUGGACACUUGAACUUGUAACAAAUUCAUUAUCUGUGUAAGUUGAAUAUGAAAUCUCCCACUCACAAAUAGAGAGAAUUAACAUCAUCAGACCAUACUAUUAGUGGUUAUAUGCGUAAUAAGUUAUGGUAAACAUAAUUUGAACGGACGAAUUUGUUGAACAAGAAACUUGGAAUAUGAAUGCACAUAUAAUAGAAUGAUUUUAUUCCAUGUCCAUAGUUUGGUUCAUAAAAAAAGAAAUAGAAUGUAUAGAAAACAGGUAGAUGUUCCAUUGACGUACGUUGCAUGAUCACCCCCACCCCCAAAGGCCAAAUUAAGGGUUUGGUGGGUGAUGGCCUUCCCUUCAAAAGGAAGUCAGCAAUCACUAUGUUUGUCAGCCUUUUGACUAACUACAAAAAGUCUACGAUAUUCUGAUGUGUUAGGACUGCUCGACUCUGUCCAUUGUUGCUUGUGUUGAAGCUUCAAUCUUGCUUUUUCAGUUACCAGUUUUUUUUCAAAACUUUUAUAUUAAAAUAUGCAUAAAAUGCAGGUUUGAUGAGAAAAUGGUAAUUGGUUCCCUUAAACAUAAUUGACGUUGCAUGAUCACCCCAAAGGGUUUGGUGGGUGAUGGCCUUCCUCUCAAAAGGAAGUCAGCAAUCACUAUGUUUGUCAGCCAUUUGACUUAACUACAAAAAAAGUCUACAAUAUUCUAAUGCGUUGGUUGGUACUGCUUGACGAUCUGUCCAUUGUUGCUUGUGUUGAAUCUUCAACUCUUGCUUUUUCAGUUACCAAAUUCUUUUUUUUUUUCAAAACUUUUGUAUAUACAAAUGCAGCUUUGAUGAGAAAAGGGUUGCUUUGUUUCGGGUCUUGUUUUACUUUAGAAAACCACAUUAUUCAUGCAAAAAAAAGAUAUCAUUCAACUGAAUUUUUUAAUUCAAUUUAAAAACCAAUUGGUAGUGAGUAUAGAAACUAAACAUCGUUUAAGUUUUUAUUCAAAAGGUUUGAUUUCUCGAUAUGGACCUUCGACCUUCGAUUACACACAACUCAAACACAUGAAUUGUGUGUUUUGAUACCAUGUUAAAGUUCAACUAAUAAACUCAAAAGUAUUAUUCAUGAAUAAAAAACCCAAAAUUAUUUAAAUUGUUGUUGUAUUUGAACCACAAUUGUUAACAGUUCUGCGUGUUUGGUCAACAAAAAAAAUGGAGUUUUAACUAGGGGUGGGCAAACGGUUCCUGGAUCCGUGGGGCGGGCCGGUUCUUUGCGGUUAGGGGCGGGUAUGGGACGGGUCUAAAAAUUACAAAUACAAAACGGGCUAGGCCGGGCCGGUUCCUUAUAAAUAACGGGGCAGGCCGAUUCAAAAAAUUGGAAAAAAGGGGCCCCCGGCCCGGACCGUUCAUUGCAUCUAUGAUCUACCCUCUAUUAUUACUCAUUUACCCUAACUAUCCCCUCACCCUCUCUCUAUCCCGUCUCCACUCUCCUCCCUCGAUCUCUCCUCCCUCUCGAUCUCUCUCGAUCUCUUCCCUCUCGAUCUCUCGAUUUCAUAGAAGAUGACUAACGCCAGAGACGAACCGGGUGGAAGCAACAGCGGUGGCGGUGGAGGCGGAUUUCAUAGAGAGCAAGCAAAGACCUAGAAUCCAAUUGGGAACUCGAUUAUUUGCUCUGAUGAAAUACCCACUGAAGAAGAAGGCCAUGUCGCUAUUAAUUUCACAGAAGUUGUUCCUUUUGCUUCGGACUACUAUUUUUCUUUUAAAUUUUUUUACUUUAGGAAUUGUUUGUGAUGAUUUUUGUUGGGUGUAGCUGCGUUGUAGCUACUUUAUCAAGGUUCGGUCCUCCAAAAAGGGGUUGGUGGCGUUUCUUUCCCCCCCAUUUUAAUUCUUUUUUUUUUUCGAUUUUAUUGUAAAUUUAUAUAAUUUGAAUAUUUUGCUUCGUGGCGUUGGUAUUUUUUCUAAAGUUUAUGAUAUUAUUUCUGUAAAGAUUUGUUCUUUGUGGAUAUGCACCCAGAUAUGUGCAUUUGUGUGUGUGAUUUUUUUCCUUGAGCGAUUUGAGGAUGUUGAGGAAGGCGAUGAGGUCCUAGAGCGAUUUGAGUCUAUGUGGGGGACGAGCGCAUUGAAUCGUUUGGAAAUGGCGGGGCAGCGGAUGAGGGUCUUGAUGUCGAAGACCGAGUCGAACAUCGGGAGGAAGAUCGAGAGGAUGAGCAAGUCCGGGAGGCGAUCAAAAUCGGAAAAAAAAAAAAAAGUAAAAGGACCCGUGGACCCGUCCCAAACCGACCCGUUUCAAAUGGGCCGGGUUAGGUCCGGUUCCAAUGAUCAAAUUUACAAUACCCGGCCCGGCCCGUCCCGUUUCCUAUUUAAGCAGGUCCGGUCCGGUCUCUCUAAAUUUGGGCCCGGCCCGGCCUGUGCCCACCCCUAGUUUUAACGAAACACUCU